RNA transcript from Triticum dicoccoides, 884 nucleotides. RefSeq lists it as uncharacterized. The record is from RefSeq and is a predicted model, not a curated record. The transcript has 3 exons. NCBI's taxonomy places the organism in Eukaryota, Viridiplantae, Streptophyta, Magnoliopsida, Poales, Poaceae.
CGGCAAUCGACAGCUCCCAGCGCACCACUGUGACCCCCUACCCCCCCCCCUUCAUCCUCCCCUCGGACCAGAUCCGAUGCGCGCAUCCUACAGUGGCCACGCGCCACCCUCCGACGGCUAGGGUUUCGACCUCCUUGUCGCGGGAAAGGCUCCUCUGGUUGUUAGCUGUCGUGACAUGGAUGGAUCCCCGGUGUGGCAGCAAGAGCCUCCCUCCUCUAACCUCCAUCGAUGGCCAUGACGAGGUUUGGUUCGAUUCGAUCUGGGAUACGCAGCGGCAACGGCAGCAGCAGACCGUGAACCCCCUCCCCCGAACUGGCCCUCCCACCGGCCACCGCGCAGCCGCCGGCCCCCACUGUCUGCUAAGGUUGAGGACACUGGGCCUGAACCACGGACGCCCUGAGCUGCCGGACCCGGAUCAAGGACACCGUCCUUGUCUCCUCCGACUCGAACUAGGGCACCGCUGCUCCCGUCUCCAGUCCCUCGUCUCCUCCUGCACUAGUUGUCCCCGCUUCCAGUGCCGGUCCUGGCCUCGUGGGUGGUGGCCUUGUGGUUCCUUUCAUUUCUAUAAUCAAUUUAGUUAGAGUGAGAAGCAUCAGGAGGAGCUCAAGCACGACCACUAAGUGGCACCACCGCAGCAGUAGGUAGCACGUCCAUAUCCACCUCCCUCUCCCUCUGCUCCCAAUCCGUUUUAUUAGAAUAUACUGAGUACAUUCUGAACCCCCUGAUGUGACACAAGUAUAUGCACAUGCUAUGGUUUAAGUGUUGCUUGUGUAUGGUAAAUAGGUUGAGCACCCACCACUGUUUGAUGCUAUUUUGUUUAGGAUUCUGUUCCUCUAUGCAUGUGAUCUCCAGACCAUGAUCAAGCAUACACACAUGGUUGAUUU